UGAAAAUUAAUUUUUUUUUACUAUUGAUUCUCCUAUUCAACAGAAAAACAAUACCCAGGAAAUGAAACAAGAAGGAGUCAACAGUAACUGCCUCAACCAAACCUCACAAAUACUGGGAUGGUGGCGUCGUUUCUCUCGACUUUUAGGAAAAUAAAACUAUUUUAAUUCCUGUCAUAUUUUAUAGCACCAAAAGAAAUAAUUUUUAUUAAAUAUAUAAAAUGUUAACUCUGUGACAUUUAAAAGAGCACUAAUAGUUAUUCUUUAACUACAGAAAGGUUUCUUAACUUAUUUUGGGGUCAGUCUGUAUUGUUUAAUGUGGGUUAUUUAAUGUGGGAAGUAUUGAUCCUCUAAUGUCAGGGGACACUUCUGUAACAUUGGUGACUGGCUUCAUGGCACUAAUUCUCAUCUGAAACUUUACAAGCCCUACUCUAGGGAGAAAACAAAUAAGUAUAGUAGAAAGAAAUUUAAAAAAGAAAAGUGUUGGAUUCAAUGACAGCAUCUAACCCUCUGUUUUAAAAACAGGCAUUUAUUUUACAUGUUAUGAUUCUUUUCCUGUUCUCAUACUAAAACUCUAUAGAAGAAGAAAAGCAAAGCAAAUGAGAAUGUACAAAUCAUGGAAAGUAUAACGAAGCAAUUUGAAAGAAGUUUCAAGCAAAGUGUUAUAAAAGUAUUCUAAGCCAAGUUUUAAAAAUUAUAGACCAGAGUAGGAUAUGCAAGUAGAUUCUGAAGAAGUACCUUUGUUACAGCUAUUAUAUAUAUAAUAAAUCUUAAAUUUUAUAUAAUGCAUUUUUAAUUUAUUUUGUG
Molecule: long non-coding RNA, 804 nt
Filed under: Marmota monax (woodchuck)
Lineage: Eukaryota; Metazoa; Chordata; Mammalia; Rodentia; Sciuridae
Source: RNAcentral